RNAcentral lists this long non-coding RNA (670 nucleotides) under Cricetulus griseus (Chinese hamster). Its description in RNAcentral is "lncRNA (ENSCGRG00015040031.1)". The record is from RNAcentral. Lineage: Eukaryota; Metazoa; Chordata; Mammalia; Rodentia; Cricetidae.
UCAGUCUUCAAUGGAUUCUGAAAACUCAAUGCCUUUGUCUCUGUGGAGCUUUUCAAAGAAUCACUUAUGUCUGUGUGCUAAUGAGCAAUGGGGAAAGUCUCAUGAAUUAUUUUUGUCGCCCAAAGCAAACAGUGUCAUUGCCACUGCAGGUGAAAUGAAAAUUGCAAUUCUGGAGGGAGGGGAGGUCACAGAACUCUAACAAGGUUUGAGCUGCCGCUAUUACAACUCCUUUUUAAGAGUCAGGAUCUGCAGAAUGACAGCACCAUCCUACAGAUGCAUGAAGCCUGAGUCUGUUGACUUUCAAGGAUGUGGCCAUUAAUUUCUCCAAGGAGGAAUGGGAAUGCCUGCAUACUUCUCAGAGGAAUUUAUACAGAGAUGUCAUGUUGGAGAAUUAUAGCAACCUGGUUUCUGUAGGCCUUUCUGAAUCAAAACCAGAGCUAGUCACCUGUCUUGAAGAAAACAAAGAACCCUGGAUGGUAAAUAUAGAUGAAGCAGAAGGCUUGGAACAGGGUGUGUUUUGUUAUACAAUUCAGGAGAUGAUCCCAAAAGAGGGUACACAGGAUACUUGUCAGAGAGAAAUGCCAGGAUGUUUAGGAAAUAAUAGCCCUGGGGAAUUAAACAUAAGGAAGUUCUCAGUUUAUAAUUGUAAAGGAUGUGGGAAGUCCUUUAC